GAGAAUGAAGGCUGAGGUGUGCGCCUUUUUUUUUUUUCCUUCUUAGUCGUGUGUACAUCAUUGGGAAUGGAGGGAAAUAAAUGACUGGAUGGUCGCUGCUUUUUAAGUUUCAAAUUGACAUUCCAGACAAGCGGUGCCUGAGCCCGUGCCUGUCUUCAGAUCUUCACAGCACAGUUCCUGGGAAGGUGGAGCCACCAGCCUCUCCCUGACAAGCAAAGUGGAUCAGCAAAGGCUGCAGUCACCAGCAUCUUUUCCAACCUUAAUGAACUGUAUCCUCAAAAGAACACUAUCAGACUGGCUCUGCCGACUUCCAGUUCUGGAACAAGAUGGUUAAACUCAUUUUUCCCUGCUCUGCUCCUCUAAAUACAACUAAGUACCUUGGAAACUAUUCAGCAGACAAUGAUAAAGGGCUCUGAAAGCUAGAAGAAAAGGUGUACUUGCAAGAAACCUCAGGACUUGAGUAACAGCAACAUGGCAGGCCAGAAAGCAGACCCAGGGAGGAUAGCACAUGUCUUCGGCUACACUGGUGAAGGCAUCGUGCCUGCUCCACAGCACAUUUUUAUUCAAGAACAAUCCAUUUCACAGAUGAAGAAACAGACUCAGUGAGCACGUGAUCACUUCUCACAACUAAUGGAGCCAAGAUUCUGUCCUUAUGGCUCCAGAGACCUCUUUUUUUUCCCACUGUACCACAACACUCACCAGGACUGGAGUGCCACCUAUGACCUCAUUGCAUAAUGGAUGGCUUGUCCUCAAAUGGGCCCGGUCUUGGACGAGCCUGAGGAUGUCUACAAGUGGAAGAAAAGAAGCCACUGGAGCAGAAGGUGGGGAGGAUAAAAUUUGGAGCAAGAUUCUCAAGGAAGCAACAAGAUCCUAAGGAAAGGAGAAAGAGACUACCUACUGCAUUUCUGUCACUCGCUGAAAAGGACACUCUGUCAGAAAAUCUUCUAGCAAACUUCAAAGGGCAAAAUCACCCCUUGUUACUGAUAAAGCCCAGAGAGCUUCAGCAGCUAACAUUCCCUGGACAGGGCACAGCAAGGAUUUGAACCUAGGUCAGUCUGGCCAGAACACCCACAAGCUUUCCUUAACUCAGUGUGCUAUCUCCCCACGACUAGGUCACUACUGCUUUAUAAUCACCUUUGUAGCCACCAGUGGAUUUUGCUCAUCAGUAUUUUUCAGGCAAUUGAUACUUUAGAUAUUCAGCUGCAAGACGUAUGCAGUUUUCAUUGACAUCUUUUGGAGAAACUGACAAACCUGGACUUGACUUAAUGCCUUUGGAACCUUCCAAGAUGUUAUAUAACUCUAGAUAGAAGGCUGGGCCUCCAUGAUGUCAGGAAUGUUGCAUUCUUAUUUCCCCAUAGAUAAACCCAUUUGUCCACAAAGUCAAGGAGUCAGGCAGAGGCCCUUGCCAUGGGGCUUUUUAGGAUAAAGCAACAAGCCUGGACUUUGCUCUACAACAGGGUUUUGCAUAGGGAGUGGUAUGACCAGAUCCCUCAAGAAAGAAAGCUUAGAGACCAGGCCAGAGUCCACUGCAGUAGCCCAGUCAAGAGAGGAUGGUGACUUGGACUUGUAGUAGAGCCAGUUAGAAUGAAAGAAAUUGACACAUUCAGAAAUGGUUUUAGAGAUAGAGUCAAACUGGACCUGAUAAAGAACUAGAGAAGCGGAGUGAGGAUAAAGAGAAGAGCCAUGACUGACUCGGAAGAUUUUGUCUUGAAAAACUUGAGAACUCAAGACAGAGUGAAAUAAAAUCACAUGUGGGAAAAA
Molecule: long non-coding RNA, 1761 nt
Organism: Homo sapiens (human)
Lineage: Eukaryota; Metazoa; Chordata; Mammalia; Primates; Hominidae
Product: MIR4435-2 host gene
Source: Ensembl